UGGGGAAUAUUGGACAAUGGGCGCAAGCCUGAUCCAGCCAUGCCGCGUGAGUGAAGAAGGCCUUCGGGUUGUAAAGCUCUUUUACCAGGGACGAUAAUGACGGUACCUGGAGAAUAGGCCCCGGCAAACUUCGUGCCAGCAGCCGCGGUAAUACGAAGGGGGCUAGCGUUGUUCGGAAUUACUGGGCGUAAAGCGCACGUAGGCGGAUUGUUAAGUCAGAGGUGAAAUCCCGGAGCUCAAACUUCGGAACUGCCUUUGAUACUGGCAAUCUAGAGUCCGGAAGAGGUUAGUGGAAUUCCCAGUGUAGAGGUGAAAUUCGUAGAUAUUGGGAAGAACACCAGUGGCGAAGGCGGCUAACUGGUCCGGUACUGACGCUGAGGUGCGAAAGCGUGGGGAGCAAACAGGAUUAGAUACCCCCGUAGUCCCUGAGCGGGCUGGCAAGGCG
Molecule: ribosomal RNA, 445 nt
Filed under: uncultured bacterium
Lineage: Bacteria
Description: bacterial SSU rRNA
Rfam family: Bacterial small subunit ribosomal RNA
Source: RNAcentral